RNAcentral lists this unclassified non-coding RNA (279 nucleotides) under plant metagenome. Its description in RNAcentral is "partial contains small subunit ribosomal RNA, internal transcribed spacer 1, and 5.8S ribosomal RNA". The record is from RNAcentral.
UUUCCGUAGGUGAACCUGCGGAAGGAUCAUUACCGUACAAAAUAUCACGGGCAUGCUAGGGCUGUCGCUGACCCAUAACUCGUGCACGCCCGCUUGUGUCCUCUUGCCUAAUGAUCCAUCUCACCCUUUGUGCAUCACCGCGUGGGCACCUUUCGGGUCCAUCUCGUAGGGGGGCUCACUAUUGAACACAAACCCCCCGUUUAAAAGUGUAGAAUGACCAAACUUAUGCAAACAAUACAACUUUCAACUACGGAUAUCUAGGCUCGCGCCUCGAUGAAA